RNAcentral lists this unclassified non-coding RNA (353 nucleotides) under soil metagenome. RNAcentral's name for it is "partial contains 5.8S ribosomal RNA, internal transcribed spacer 2, and large subunit ribosomal RNA". The stretch from base 1 to 119 matches the Rfam family "5.8S ribosomal RNA", at positions 35 to 154 of the family's 154-position model. The record is from RNAcentral.
GAUGAAGAACGUAGCGAAAUGCGAUAAGUAAUGUGAAUUGCAGAAUUCCGUGAUCAUCGAAUCUUUGAACGCACAUUGCGCCCCCUGGCAUUCCGGGGGGCAUGCCUGUCCGAGCGUCAUUUCUGCCCUCCAGCCCGGCUGGGUGUUGGGCGCUGUCCCCCCGGGGACACGCCCCAAAGGCAGUGGCGGCGCCGCGUCGGGUCCUCGAGCGUAUGGGGCUUUGUCACCCGCUCGGGACGGACUCGUCGGCGCUGGUCUUCCUCCAGGCGACCCUUCGGGGCUCGUCUUCCUUCGGUUGACCUCGGAUCAGGUAGGGUUACCCGCUGAACUUAAGCAUAUCAAUAAGCGGAGGA